GGGUGCGAUCAUACUACCACUAAUGCACCGGAUCCCAUCAGAACUCCGCAGUUAAGCGUGCUUGGGCGAGACUAGUACUAGGAUGGGUUACCUCCUGGGAAGUCCUCGUGUUGCACCCC
RNAcentral lists this ribosomal RNA (119 nucleotides) under Gossypium arboreum. Lineage: Eukaryota; Viridiplantae; Streptophyta; Magnoliopsida; Malvales; Malvaceae. The record is from RNAcentral.